RNAcentral lists this long non-coding RNA (1115 nucleotides) under Zonotrichia albicollis (white-throated sparrow). RNAcentral's name for it is "lncRNA (ENSZALG00000000390.1)". Lineage: Eukaryota; Metazoa; Chordata; Aves; Passeriformes; Passerellidae. The record is from RNAcentral.
CUCACCUUCGACUACAACAUGCACGGUACCUGGCACACCUGUUCUUACCUGGCACACACCUGGCACACACCUGUACCUGUCACACACCUGGCACACACCUGGCACACACCUGUACCUGUCACACACCUGGCAUACACCUGUCCCUGCCCUCAGGCCCAUCCGCGCUGGGGAGGAGCUCACCUUCAACUACAACAUGCACGGUACCUGGCACACACCUGUACCUGGCACACACCUGUACCUGUCACACACCUGGCACACCUGUACCUGGCACACCUGGCACACACCUGGCACACACCUGUAUGUGUCCAUAUCACACACCUGUACCUGCCCUCAGGCCUAUCCGGGCCGACGAGGAGCUCACCUUCGACUACAACAUGCACGGUACCUGGCACACCUGUUCUUACCUGUUACACACCUGUCACUCCUGUACCUGUCACACCUAUCCAUAUCACACACCUGUACCUGUCACACCUGGCACACACCUGUACCUGUCACACCUAUCCAUAUCACACACCUGUACCUGGCACACCUGGCACACACCUGGCACACACCUGUAUGUGUCCAUAUCACACACUUGUACCUGCCCUGAGACCCAUCCGUGCUGGGGAGGAGCUCACCUUCGACUACAACAUGCACAGUACCUGGCACACACCUGUACCUGGCACACACCUGUACCUGGCACACCUGUAUCUGUCACACCUAUCCAUAUCACACACCUGUACCUGUCACACACCUGUCACAUACCUGUCCCUGCCCUCAGGCCCAUCCGUGCCGGGGAGGAGCUCACCUUUGACUACAACAUGCACGGUACCUGGCACACACCUGGCACACACCUGUACCUGUCACACCUGACACACACCUGUACCUGUCACACCUGUACCUGUCACACCUGGCACACACCUGUACCUGUCACACCUGGCACACACCUGUACCUGUCACACCUGUACCUGUCACACCUAUCCAUAUCACACACCUGUACCUGGCACACCUGUACCUGUCACACCUAUCCAUAUCACACACCUGUACCUGCCCUCAGGCCUAUCCGUGCCGGGGAGGAGCUCACCUUCGACUACAACAUGCACGGUACCUGGCACACACCUGGCACACACCUGUCC